GUUAAUAUUUCACUGUCUGUU
Molecule: microRNA, 21 nt
Filed under: Euprymna scolopes
Lineage: Eukaryota; Metazoa; Mollusca; Cephalopoda; Sepiida; Sepiolidae
Description: Esc-Novel-56_5p (mature (co-guide))
Source: RNAcentral